Molecule: transfer RNA, 69 nt
Filed under: Heterocephalus glaber (naked mole-rat)
Lineage: Eukaryota; Metazoa; Chordata; Mammalia; Rodentia; Bathyergidae
Rfam family: tRNA
About the family: Transfer RNA (tRNA) molecules are approximately 80 nucleotides in length. Their secondary structure includes four short double-helical elements and three loops (D, anti-codon, and T loops).
Source: Rfam by way of RNAcentral
GGGGAUGUAGCUCAGUGGUAGAGUGCUUGCCUAGCAUGUAUGAGGUCCUGGGUUCAAUCCCCAGCACCA